GAAUGCUGACAUAAGUAACGAUAAAGCGGGUGAAAAGCCCGCUCGCCGGAAGACCAAGGGUUCCUGUCCAACGUUAAUCGGGGCAGGGUGAGUCGACCCCUAAGGCGAGGCCGAAAGGCGUAGUCGAUGGGAAACAGGUUAAUAUUCCUGUACUUGGUGUUACUGCGAAGGGGGGACGGAGAAGGCUAUGUUGGCCGGGCGACGGUUGUCCCGGUUUAAGCGUGUAGGCUGGUUUUCCAGGCAAAUCCGGAAAAUCAAGGCUGAGGCGUGAUGACGAGGCACUACGGUGCUGAAGCGACAAAUGCCCUGCUUCCAGGAAAAGCCUCUAAGCAUCAGGUAACAUCAAAUCGUACCCCAAACCGACACAGGUGGUCAGGUAGAGAAUACCAAGGCGCUUGAGAGAACUCGGGUGAAGGAACUAGGCAAAAUGGUGCCGUAACUUCGGGAGAAGGCACGCUGAUAUGUAGGUGAAGCGACUUGCUCGUGGAGCUGAAAUCAGUCGAAGAUACCAGCUGGCUGCAACUGUUUAUUAAAAACACAGCACUGUGCAAACACGAAAGUGGACG
RNAcentral lists this ribosomal RNA (566 nucleotides) under Escherichia coli. Its description in RNAcentral is "partial 23S ribosomal RNA". It matches the Rfam family "Bacterial large subunit ribosomal RNA", at positions 1292 to 1843 of the family's 2925-position model. Lineage: Bacteria; Pseudomonadati; Pseudomonadota; Gammaproteobacteria; Enterobacterales; Enterobacteriaceae. The record is from RNAcentral.